AACGGGGAGCAGCCCAGAGCCUGAAUCAGUGUGUGUGUUAGUGGAAGCGUCUGGAAAGGCGCGCGAUACAGGGUGACAGCCCCGUACACAAAAAUGCACAUGCUGUGAGCUCGAUGAGUAGGGCGGGACACGUGGUAUCCUGUCUGAAUAUGGGGGGACCAUCCUCCAAGGCUAAAUACUCCUGACUGACCGAUAGUGAACCAGUACCGUGAGGGAAAGGCGAAAAGAACCCCGGCGAGGGGAGUGAAAAAGAACCUGAAACCGUGUACGUACAAGCAGUGGGAGCACGCUUAGGCGUGUGACUGCGUACCUUUUGUAUAAUGGGUCAGCGACUUAUAUUCUGUAGCAAGGUUAACCGAAUAGGGGAGCCGAAGGGAAACCGAGUCUUAACUGGGCGUUAAGUUGCAGGGUAUAGACCCGAAACCCGGUGAUCUAGCCAUGGGCAGGUUGAAGGUUGGGUAACACUAACUGGAGGACCGAACCGACUAAUGUUGAAAAAUUAGCGGAUGACUUGUGGCUGGGGGUGAAAGGCCAAUCAAACCGGGAGAUAGCUGGUUCUCCCCGAAAGCUAUUUAGGUAGCGCCUCGUGAAUUCAUCUCCGGGGGUAGAGCACUGUUUCGGCAAGGGGGUCAUCCCGA
RNAcentral lists this ribosomal RNA (638 nucleotides) under Escherichia coli. Its description in RNAcentral is "partial 23S ribosomal RNA". It matches the Rfam family "Bacterial large subunit ribosomal RNA", at positions 289 to 934 of the family's 2925-position model. Lineage: Bacteria; Pseudomonadati; Pseudomonadota; Gammaproteobacteria; Enterobacterales; Enterobacteriaceae. The record is from RNAcentral.